CUGCAAUGAGCGUCCACAUAAGACUUUAAGAGCAUUAUAGAAGUCCCCAUGUUUCUCAAACUGAACCACAAUCUUGCAGAGGAGACCUGAAAUUAUAUCCCCUCCAUCCUCGUCUGCAUCCUUACCACGAUCAUCAUCCUCAGCGACGUUAAGAUUUCUUAUCUUCCCAAAUGUGGAGAAAAUGGUAUGAGUAACUAACAAUGAAGGCUUCGAAGACACCCUCGGCUCUGCAAACCAACGGGACGGAACC
This 250-nucleotide unclassified non-coding RNA is filed under the name Hevea brasiliensis (rubber tree). The record is from RNAcentral. Lineage: Eukaryota; Viridiplantae; Streptophyta; Magnoliopsida; Malpighiales; Euphorbiaceae.